UGAUCACCAUCUCCAUAAGGAAACAUAUUAACUAUUCAUAAGUAACUCAUCCAACCCCACUUCAAAAUCACUGAACUAUCCCUUUAAAUAACCAGUGUGUCGACAUUAGUGGCAUCUAGCGGCGAAGGUGUAGAUUUCAAUCAAGUGGAAAACCUUCCCCCAGAGAGGGCUCCGAACAACUCCGUUCACUCUAAUGAACCUUUUUUUUUCUUGCAAUGGCGGAUCAUGGAGCCUCUGAAUAGUUCCCGGAAGUGAGCAGCAGCACAUCGCAGCACAUUAGAGGAGCAGCAGAAUGGAUCAAUGGACCGACUGUGUUGCACUUAUGAACGGCUGUUCUUGGUCAGUCCCAUUUGGCCGACAUGCUGAGGUCUAUGGUCGUGUCAGUGUUGACCCUGGACGGGACGGAAAGCCAAAGAGUCCAAAAUGGUUUUCUAGCCAUUAUAGCUGUGUCCCAAUUCAGGGGCCGCAUCCUUCGGAGGCUGCAUUUCAAGACAGACAGCAUCACAGCUUUGCGACUCCCAUUUUGAAAACUCCUUCAGAUGCAGCCAACAUGACGUGGGAUCCAACAGAUAACAUUAUAAUCGUAAGACAACGGAUAUGUGGCAUGAUGAAAUACCACAGUGCAAUAAGAAUACUAAGCUGCUUCAGACAUGCACUGAAGUCUGGACCUUUUGCUGACAUUUUCCAGAGGGGCUGUAUUUGAGAAUGCAAAUAAAUGCAAAACAAUUUGAA
Molecule: long non-coding RNA, 732 nt
Organism: Scophthalmus maximus (turbot)
Lineage: Eukaryota; Metazoa; Chordata; Actinopteri; Pleuronectiformes; Scophthalmidae
Exons: 2
Source: RefSeq, a predicted model, not a curated record